Molecule: ribosomal RNA, 691 nt
Filed under: uncultured bacterium
Lineage: Bacteria
Description: bacterial SSU rRNA
Rfam family: Bacterial small subunit ribosomal RNA
Source: RNAcentral
UUUGCUGACGAGUGGCGGACGGGUGAGUAAUGUCUGGGAAACUGCCUGAUGGAGGGGGAUAACUACUGGAAACGGUAGCUAAUACCGCAUAACGUCGCAAGACCAAAGAGGGGGACCUUNGGGNCUCUUGCCAUCGGAUGUGCCCAGAUGGGAUUAGCUAGUAGGUGGGGUAACGGCUCACCUAGGCGACGAUCCCUAGCUGGUCUGAGAGGAUGACCAGCCACACUGGAACUGAGACACGGUCCAGACUCCUACGGGAGGCAGCAGUGGGGAAUAUUGCACAAUGGGCGCAAGCCUGAUGCAGCCAUGCCGCGUGUAUGAAGAAGGCCUUCGGGUUGUAAAGUACUUUCAGCGGGGAGGAAGGGAGUAAAGUUAAUACCUUUGCUCAUUGACGUUACCCGCAGAAGAAGCACCGGCUAACUCCGUGCCAGCAGCCGCGGUAAUACGGAGGGUGCAAGCGUUAAUCGGAAUUACUGGGCGUAAAGCGCACGCAGGCGGUUUGUUAAGUCAGAUGUGAAAUCCCCGGGCUCAACCUGGGAACUGCAUCUGAUACUGGCAAGCUUGAGUCUCGUAGAGGGGGGUAGAAUUCCAGGUGUAGCGGUGAAAUGCGUAGAGAUCUGGAGGAAUACCGGUGGCGAAGGCGGCCCCCUGGACGAAGACUGACGCUCAGGUGCGAAAGCGUGGGGAGCAA